This 241-nucleotide unclassified non-coding RNA is filed under the name Helotiales sp. Its description in RNAcentral is "partial contains 5.8S ribosomal RNA, internal transcribed spacer 2, and large subunit ribosomal RNA". The stretch from base 1 to 52 matches the Rfam family "5.8S ribosomal RNA", at positions 103 to 154 of the family's 154-position model. The record is from RNAcentral. Lineage: Eukaryota; Fungi; Ascomycota; Leotiomycetes; Helotiales. RNAcentral also lists the same sequence under 2 other names.
AACGCACAUUGCGCCCUCUGGUAUUCCGGGGGGCAUGCCUGUUCGAGCGUCAUUACAACCCUCAAGCUCUGCUUGGUAUUGGGCGCCACCGCUUCGGUGCGCCUUAAAAUCAGUGGCGGCGCCAUCCGGCUUCAAGCGUAGUAAUACUUCUCGCUCUGGGGAUCCGGGUGUGUGCUUGCCAGCAACCCCCAAUUUAUCAAAGGUUGACCUCGGAUCAGGUAGGGAUACCCGCUGAACUUAA